Molecule: ribosomal RNA, 300 nt
Filed under: Enterobacter sp. W2FG4
Lineage: Bacteria; Pseudomonadati; Pseudomonadota; Gammaproteobacteria; Enterobacterales; Enterobacteriaceae
Description: bacterial SSU rRNA
Rfam family: Bacterial small subunit ribosomal RNA
Source: RNAcentral
UCAGAUUGAACGCUGGCGGCAGGCCUAACACAUGCAAGUCGAACGGUAACAGGAAGCAGCUUGCUGCUUCGCUGACGAGUGGCGGACGGGUGAGUAAUGUCUGGGAAACUGCCUGAUGGAGGGGGAUAACUACUGGAAACGGUAGCUAAUACCGCAUAACGUCGCAAGACCAAAGAGGGGGACCUUCGGGCCUCUUGCCAUCGGAUGUGCCCAGAUGGGAUUAGCUAGUAGGUGGGGUAACGGCUCACCUAGGCGACGAUCCCUAGCUGGUCUGAGAGGAUGACCAGCCACACUGGAACU